This 504-nucleotide ribosomal RNA is filed under the name uncultured bacterium. Its description in RNAcentral is "bacterial SSU rRNA". It matches the Rfam family "Bacterial small subunit ribosomal RNA", at positions 15 to 507 of the family's 1533-position model. The record is from RNAcentral.
GAUCAUGGCUCAGGAUGAACGCUAGCUACAGGCUUAACACAUGCAAGUCGAGGGGCAGCGGGAAUCUAGCUUGCUAGAUUUGCCGGCGACCGGCGCACGGGUGAGUAACACGUAUCCAACCUGGCCCAUACUCGGGUAUAGCCUCUCGAAAGGGAGAUUAAUCCCCCGAUGUUGUCGUUGUUCCGCAUGGUACAUCGACCAAAGAAAUUCGGUAUGGGAUGGGGAUGCGUUCCAUUAGAUAGUUGGCGGGGUAACGGCCCACCAAGUCUUCGAUGGAUAGGGGUUCUGAGAGGAAGGUCCCCCACACUGGAACUGAGACACGGUCCAGACUCCUACGGGAGGCAGCAGUGAGGAAUAUUGGUCAAUGGACGCAAGUCUGAACCAGCCAAGUAGCGUGAAGGAUGACUGCCCUAUGGGUUGUAAACUUCUUUUAUACGGGAAUAAAAGACAUUACGUGUAGUGUUUUGCAUGUACCGUUAUGAAUAAGCAUCGGCUAAUUCCGUG